This 753-nucleotide ribosomal RNA is filed under the name uncultured Candidatus Poseidoniales archaeon. Its description in RNAcentral is "bacterial SSU rRNA". It matches the Rfam family "Archaeal small subunit ribosomal RNA", at positions 102 to 857 of the family's 1478-position model. The record is from RNAcentral. Lineage: Archaea; Methanobacteriati; Thermoplasmatota; Candidatus Poseidoniia; Candidatus Poseidoniales.
GGGUAACCUGCCCUAUGCUGGAUAAUAACCUCGGGAAACUGAGAAUAAUGAUCCAUAGUUCACUACGCCUGGAACGGUGAGUGGAUGAAAGCUCCGGCGGCAUAGGAUGGGCCUGCGGCGUAUCAGGUUGUAGGGGGUGUAACGUACCCUCUAGCCCUCUACGCGUACGGGUGUUGGGAGACAUAGCCCGGAGAUGGAUUCUGAGACACGAAUCCAGACCCUACGGGGUGCAGCAGGCGCGAAAACUUGGCAAUGCGAGAAAUCGUGACCAGGGAACUCCAAGUGCAUCGGGUAAGACCGGUGCUUUUCUUGACUCUAAAUAGGUCUUGGAAUAAGGGGUGGGUAAGGACGGUGCCAGCCGCCGCGGUAAUACCGGCGCCUCAAGUGGUAGUCGCUUUUAUUGGGCCUAAAACGUCCGUAGCCGGUCUGAUACAUUCGUGGGUAAAUCAACCAGCUCAACUGGUUGAAUUCUGCGAGGACGGUCAGACUUGGGACCGGGAGAGGUGUGGGGUACGCUCAGGGUAGGGGUAAAAUCCUGUCAUCCUGAGCGGACCACCUGUUGCGAAGGCGCCACACUAGAACGGAUCCGACGGUCAGGGACGAAGCCUAGGGGCACGAACCGGAUUAGAUACCCGGGUAGUCCUAGGUGUAAACGCUGUGGACUUGAUGUUGGGGGUGCUCCGAGCACUCUCAGUGUCGAAGCGAAAGUGAUAAGUCCACUGCCUGGGAAGUACGGUCGCAAGGCUGAAACUU